GAUGAACGCUGGCGGCGUGCCUAAUACAUGCAAGUCGAGCGAACAGACUAGGAGCUUGCUCCUCUGACGUUUUCGGCGGACGUGUGAGUAACACGUGGAUAACCUACCUAUGAGACUGGGAUAACUUGGGGAAACUGGAUCUAACACCGUAAAAUUUAUUGAACCGCAUGGUUCACUAGUAAAAUGCGGUUUUACUGUUACUUAUUGAUGGUUCCUCGCAGAAUUAGCUAGUUGGUAAGGUAACGGCAUACAAAGACAACGAUUCGUAGCCGACCUAAGAGGGUGAUCGGCCACCCUGGAACUGAGAAAGGUCCAGGACUCCAAGGGAGGCAACCGGUAGGGAAUUUCGCGAAUUGGGCGAAAGCUUACCGGAGCAACGCCGGGUAAGUGAUGAAGGUCUUCGAAUCGUAAAACUCUGUUAAUAAGGAAGAACAAAUGUGUAAGUAACUAUGCACGUUUUGACGGUACCUAAUCAGAAAGGCACGGCUAACUACGUG
Molecule: ribosomal RNA, 497 nt
Filed under: uncultured bacterium
Lineage: Bacteria
Description: partial 16S ribosomal RNA
Rfam family: Bacterial small subunit ribosomal RNA
Source: RNAcentral